Non-coding RNA from Salmo salar (Atlantic salmon), 73 nucleotides. Lineage: Eukaryota; Metazoa; Chordata; Actinopteri; Salmoniformes; Salmonidae. The record is from Rfam.
GCUUCGUUAGCGAGGUAGGUAGCGCGCCAGUCUCAUAAGCUGAAGCUUGUGAGUUCGAUCCUCACACGAGGCA